Long non-coding RNA from Rosa rugosa (rugosa rose), 596 nucleotides. RefSeq lists it as uncharacterized. The transcript has 2 exons. NCBI's taxonomy places the organism in Eukaryota, Viridiplantae, Streptophyta, Magnoliopsida, Rosales, Rosaceae. The record is from RefSeq and is a predicted model, not a curated record.
AGCUAGGAUAUACUACUAAAUGUUAAUUUGCUUGAGCAGGCUUGGUCACAGUCUUUCAAUUGUAUCUCUUCUCAAUAUGUUCCAGCAAUAUAUGAGCUAUGAAGGAAGUUCUAUUUGUACAAAGGAAGAGAUUUCUGUUCCAGCAAUAUAUGUCAGAGUGGUAAUUCAUGAUUAAAACUGGUAUGUGAUUACAUUACUGCAGGUUGCUGAGGGGUAGAUUCCACUCGUGGUAGCUAAAGGAGAGGAGAUAGCACGUUAUAAAGGACUUGAUCCGACAGAGCGUUUACUAAUGUUAAAAGCACUCUGUGAACUCCGAGCCGAUGUAUUUACUCCUUUGUCAUUAUUUUUUCUGUUUCUUAAUGUCAAGUGGUGUACAUACCGGAUAUCCUAGCUUUAUGUUACCAUUUGUUUUGGUAUUUUGAUGAGCCUCCUGCUAGCUAGUUUUAGUUUUUGCUUUAGUUAUAGGCAUGGUUAAUGCAAUGUGGACGCGUUUAUGUUUUCCGGCUUUAUGCAGUUAUAGCCACUUAGGCAAUGUUAAUUCUUAUGUAAAUGUUGGGAUGAAUAUUGCUGAUGAAUGAAAUGGCUUUUGGAAUCAA